UACAGAGGUCUCAAGCGUUGUUCGGAUUCAUUGGGCGUAAAGGGUGCGUAGGUGGCGUCGUAAGUCAGGUGUGAAAUCCCGGGGCUCAACCCCGAAACUGCACUUGAUACUGCGAUGCUUGAGUACUGGAGAGGAGAUUGGAAUUUACGGUGUAGCAGUGAAAUGCGUAGAUAUCGUAAGGAAGACCAGUGGCGAAGGCGAAUCUCUGGACAGUUACUGACACUGAGGCACGAAGGCCAGGGGAGCAAACGGG
Molecule: ribosomal RNA, 253 nt
Filed under: uncultured bacterium
Lineage: Bacteria
Description: partial 16S ribosomal RNA
Rfam family: Bacterial small subunit ribosomal RNA
Source: RNAcentral